This 559-nucleotide ribosomal RNA is filed under the name Saccharomyces x bayanus. Its description in RNAcentral is "LSU rRNA". It matches the Rfam family "Eukaryotic large subunit ribosomal RNA", at positions 69 to 642 of the family's 3401-position model. Lineage: Eukaryota; Fungi; Ascomycota; Saccharomycetes; Saccharomycetales; Saccharomycetaceae. The record is from RNAcentral.
CCGGGAUUGCCUUAGUAACGGCGAGUGAAGCGGCAAAAGCUCAAAUUUGAAAUCUGGUACCUUUGGUGCCCGAGUUGUAAUUUGGAGAGGGCAACUUUGGGACCGUUCCUUGUCUAUGUUCCUUGGAACAGGACGUCAUAGAGGGUGAGAAUCCCGUGUGGCGAGGAGUGCGGUUCUAUGUAAAGUGCCUUCGAAGAGUCGAGUUGUUUGGGAAUGCAGCUCUAAGUGGGUGGUAAAUUCCAUCUAAAGCUAAAUAUUGGCGAGAGACCGAUAGCGAACAAGUACAGUGAUGGAAAGAUGAAAAGAACUUUGAAAAGAGAGUGAAAAAGUACGUGAAAUUGUUGAAAGGGAAGGGCAUUUGAUCAGACAUGGUGUUUUGCGCCCUCUGCUCCUUGUGGGUGGGGGAAUCUCGCAGUUCACUGGGCCAGCAUCAGUUUUGGUGGCAGGAUAAAUCCGUAGGAAUGUAACUUGCUUCGGGAAGUAUUAUAGCCUAUGGGAAUACUGCCAGCUGGGACUGAGGACUGCGACGUAAGUCAAGGAUGCUGGCAUAAUGGUUAUA